RNAcentral lists this ribosomal RNA (478 nucleotides) under uncultured bacterium. Its description in RNAcentral is "partial 16S ribosomal RNA". It matches the Rfam family "Bacterial small subunit ribosomal RNA", at positions 28 to 523 of the family's 1533-position model. The record is from RNAcentral.
GACGAACGCUGGCGGCGUGCUUAACACAUGCAAGUCGAACGGUAAGGCCCUUCGGGGUACACGAGUGGCGAACGGGCGAGUAACACGUGGGUGAUCUGCCCAGCACUUCGGGAUAAGCCUGGGAAACUGGGUCUAAUACCGGAUAGGACCACUGCCUGCAUGGGUGGUGGUGGAAAGCUUUUGCGGUGUGGGAUGGGCCCGCGGCCGAUCAGCUUGUUGGUGGGGUGAUGGCCUACCAAGGCGACGACGGGUAGCCGGCCUGAGAGGGUGACCGGCCACACUGGGACUGAGAUACGGCCCAGACUCCUACGGGAGGCAGCAGUGGGGAAUAUUGCACAAUGGGCGCAAGCCUGAUGCAGCGACGCCGCGUGAGGGAUGACGGCCUUCGGGUUGUAAACCUCUUUCAGCACCGACGAAGCGCAAGUGACGGUAGGUGCAGAAGAAGGACCGGCCAACUACGUGCCAGCAGCCGCCGUAA